Molecule: unclassified non-coding RNA, 400 nt
Filed under: uncultured Aeromonadaceae bacterium
Lineage: Bacteria; Pseudomonadati; Pseudomonadota; Gammaproteobacteria; Aeromonadales; Aeromonadaceae
Description: contains 16S-23S intergenic spacer region
Source: RNAcentral
CCGUCAAUUCCUUUGAGUUUUAACCUUGCGGCCGUACUCCCCAGGCGGUCGAUUUAACGCGUUAGCUCCGGAAGCCACGUCUCAAGGACACAGCCUCCAAAUCGACAUCGUUUACGGCGUGGACUACCAGGGUAUCUAAUCCUGUUUGCUCCCCACGCUUUCGCACCUGAGCGUCAGUCUUUGUCCAGGGGGCCGCCUUCGCCACCGGUAUUCCUCCAGAUCUCUACGCAUUUCACCGCUACACCUGGAAUUCUACCCCCCUCUACAAGACUCUAGCUGGACAGUUUUAAAUGCAAUUCCCAGGUUGAGCCCGGGGCUUUCACAUCUAACUUAUCCAACCGCCUGCGUGCGCUUUACGCCCAGUAAUUCCGAUUAACGCUUGCACCCUCCGUAUUACCGC